Pelobates cultripes (western spadefoot toad) is the source of this 257-nucleotide non-coding RNA. NCBI's taxonomy places the organism in Eukaryota, Metazoa, Chordata, Amphibia, Anura, Pelobatidae. The record is from the annotation of a GenBank genome assembly.
UGUCGCUUGGGUUACCAGCACUACCGGCGAAGCCCAAGGACUCUGCAAUGGCUCUAUAACUCAUAGUUUGAGCAUCUCUUGGAGUUCUGCCAGAAUGUUGUCUCUAACUGCCGCAGAGAUACGGUAGGGUUGUUGCCUGAGUGGGGUUUCCCCUUGGGUCUCGACUCAGUGGACCGCAGCAGAGGUGUACCCGGGUAGGGCAGAGAACAUGUCCCUGUAUCCCUGGAGCAGCUGAGAGGCCUCACUCUUUUCCUGGG